CUCUGACAUAAGACAUCUGUCGCUUUUCCAGCUUCUAACAGUUACAGGAUCAUCACUCACUGUUAUAACUUUAUCAUACAGUCUGGGCAGUUGUGUGACCACAGCACGGGCUGAAAAUUAAAGAGGUGAGAAAACGGCACCACUGUAAGGAGCUGGGCGGGAUCCAGGAAGGGCCGCCCACUAAGCCUGAGUCAGGAGGACGGAUAACAACGGUUCAGCAUCUUUCAAGUUCCCUCGCUGCCAAGCCUGAAAUGCUCCAAGUGGAGGCCUCAGUUGUGUUGCCUGGCCUGAGGAAUCUUCUGGUUAUUGCUGGGCUUCUGCCUCAGUUUAGCUCCUUAGUCGCUCAUGCACAGCAGUAGAGACCGUCGGUGAUCUCUCCAAACCACCACAAUGCCUCCGGACCUUGGUGUCAGCAGUCGCUACGCUCCACAUCCAUCUUCCUCUAAAAGCCCAUAGCUGUAAGUUUUCGAAACACAGCUUCUGGUCUUUAGGAGACUCGUAAACUCUGCAUGGGCGCUGAACGAGCAAGAUAAUCCUUAGCUUGUGAUCAUGAAAUGCAGACGGUAAACCAUUUUGAUAAUAAAAUAAGGACCACUGGAAAGGACUGGGAACAGCCGUGCUCGUCCGCUGCAGGUAUGAGAAGUUUGAGCGAUCAGCUCUCGUUCUGAGUUGGAACAAACUCGGGUGAAAUUCACACUGCCUGAAACGGUACCUCGCUGAAGUUCUUUCCUGUCCUACUUCCUCCACUCCCUUGAUAGUUUCUCCUUGGCGUGCCUUCAUAAUAAAUCGCCUGGAUGGUUCUCCUUAUCUCGGGUCUGCUUUUUGGGGAAGCGUUAACUAAGAAGCUGCUGUCUACAGAAAAGUGAACUCUCCGUGACUGGCAGAGGCCGCAGACCUGGCCCAGAAGCUCGGCAGUUUCCCCCAAAUCCCAAUAUCGGCACCCAGGGCUUGCGCGUGUCCAUGGGCA
RNAcentral lists this long non-coding RNA (967 nucleotides) under Fukomys damarensis (Damara mole-rat). RNAcentral's name for it is "lncRNA (ENSFDAG00000030001.1)". Lineage: Eukaryota; Metazoa; Chordata; Mammalia; Rodentia; Bathyergidae. The record is from RNAcentral.